UGUAAAUGUGAUCUAAUUCUGCUCCUGAGA
Molecule: non-coding RNA, 30 nt
Filed under: Rattus norvegicus (Norway rat)
Lineage: Eukaryota; Metazoa; Chordata; Mammalia; Rodentia; Muridae
Source: RNAcentral